This 42-nucleotide ribosomal RNA is filed under the name soil fungal sp. SA9-6. Its description in RNAcentral is "partial 17S ribosomal RNA". Lineage: Eukaryota; Fungi. The record is from RNAcentral.
GAAGGUAAAAGUCGUAACAAGGUUUCCGUAGGUGAACCUGCG